CGGCUCAGAUUGAACGCUGGCGGGGAUGCUUUACACAUGCAAGUCGAACGGCAGCACGAUUUCGGUCUGGUGGCGAGUGGCGAACGGUGAGUAAUGUAUCGGAACGUGCCUAGUAGCGGGGAUAACUACGCGAAAGCGUAGCCAAUACCGCAUACGGUCUCAAAAAGCGGGACCUUCUGGCCUCGUACCUGUUAGAGCGGCCGAUAUCGGAUUAGCUAGUUGGUGGGGUAACGGCUCAUCAAGGCGACGAUCCGUAGCUGGUUUGAGACGACCAGCCACACUGGGAUCAGAGGACAUGGCCUGGACUCCUACGGGAGGCAGCAGUGGGGAAUUUUGGAUAUCAAACCCUGAUCCAGCCAUCCUGCAGUGUGCGAUGAAGGCCUUCGGGUUGUAAAGCACUUUUGGCAGGAAGAAACGGCACGGGAUAAUACCCUGCAAUUGACGGUACCUGCAGAAUGCUGCACUGGCUAACUACGUGCCAGCAGCCGCGUAAUACGUAGGGUGCAAGCGUUAAUCGGAAUUACUGGGCGUAAGCGUGCGCAGGCGGUUCGAAAGAAAGAUGUGAAAUCCCAGAGCUGAAUUGGAACUGCAUUUUUAAUCACUGAGCGAGUGUGUCAGAGGGAGGUGGAAUUCCGCGUGUAGCAGUGAUGCAGAUGCAGGAGAACACCGAUGGCGAAGGUAGCCUCCUCUGGGAUAACACUGACGCUCAUGCACGAAAGCGGGGAGCAAACAGGAUUAGAUACCCGAGUAGUCCACGCCCUAAACGAUGUCAACUAGCCGUUGGGGCCUUCGGCCUUAUAGCGCAGCUAACGCGUGAAGACCGCCCGGGGAGCAUGGUCGCAAGAUUAAAACCCGCAAAGGAAUUGAUACGGGGACUCCGCACAAGCGGUGGAUGAUGUGGAUUAAUUCGAUGCAACGCGAAAAACCUUACCUACCCUGCGGAUAUGUCUGAAUCCCGAAGAGAUUUGGGAGUGCUCGCAAGAGAACUGGAACACAGGUGCUGCCAAUGGCUGCCGUCAGUCGCUGCUGUGUCGUGAUGUUGCUGUCCCAAAUGAGCAACCCUUUGGCUGAGUUGCUACAGCACUUAAUGAGACUGCCGGUGACAACCGAGGAAGGUGGGGAUGACGUCAAGUCCUCAUGGCCCUUAUGGGUAGGGCUUCACACGUCAUACAAUGGUCGACAGAGGGUCGCUAACCCGCGAGGGGGAGCCAAUCCCAGAAACCUGAUCGUAACCGGAUCGCAGUCUGCAACUCGACUGCGUGAAGUCGGAAUCGCUAGUAAUCGCGGAUCAGCAUGUCGCGUGAAUACGUUCCUGGUCUUGUACACACCGCCCGUCACACCAUGGGAGUGGGGUUUUACCAGAAGUAGUUAGCCCAACUGUAAGGAGGGCGAUUACCGCUGGUAUUCAUGACUGGGUGAGAGGUCGUAACGCA
This 1433-nucleotide ribosomal RNA is filed under the name uncultured Bordetella sp. RNAcentral describes it as "partial 16S-23S ribosomal RNA intergenic spacer". It matches the Rfam family "Bacterial small subunit ribosomal RNA". The record is from RNAcentral. Lineage: Bacteria; Pseudomonadati; Pseudomonadota; Betaproteobacteria; Burkholderiales; Alcaligenaceae.